RNAcentral lists this transfer RNA (82 nucleotides) under Actinomadura coerulea. RNAcentral's name for it is "tRNA-Leu". It matches the Rfam family "tRNA". Rfam says of the family: Transfer RNA (tRNA) molecules are approximately 80 nucleotides in length. Their secondary structure includes four short double-helical elements and three loops (D, anti-codon, and T loops). Further hydrogen bonds mediate the characteristic L-shaped molecular structure. tRNAs have two regions of fundamental functional importance: the anti-codon, which is responsible for specific mRNA codon recognition, and the 3' end, to which the tRNAs corresponding amino acid is attached (by aminoacyl-tRNA synthetases). tRNAs cope with the degeneracy of the genetic code in two manners: having more than one tRNA (with a specific anti-codon) for a particular amino acid; and 'wobble' base-pairing, i.e. permitting non-standard base-pairing at the 3rd anti-codon position. RNAcentral also lists the same sequence under 1 other name. Lineage: Bacteria; Bacillati; Actinomycetota; Actinomycetes; Streptosporangiales; Thermomonosporaceae. The record is from RNAcentral.
AUGACUAUGGCGAAAUAGGUAAACGCGGCUAACUUAGUAUUAGUUUAUUUAUAAAAUAAGGGUUCAAAUCCCUUUAGUCAUA